RNAcentral lists this ribosomal RNA (238 nucleotides) under uncultured bacterium. RNAcentral's name for it is "partial 16S ribosomal RNA". It matches the Rfam family "Bacterial small subunit ribosomal RNA", at positions 524 to 762 of the family's 1533-position model. The record is from RNAcentral.
UACGUAGGGUGCAAGCGUUAAUCGGAAUUACUGGGCGUAAAGCGUGCGCAGGCGGUUAUGCAAGACAGAGGUGAAAUCCCCGGGCUCAACCUGGGAACUGCCUUUGUGACUGCAUAGCUAGAGUACGGUAGAGGGGAUGGAAUUCCGCGUGUAGCAGUGAAAUGCGUAGAUAUGCGGAGGAACACCGAUGGCGAAGGCAAUCCCCUGGACCUGUACUGACGCUCAUGCACGAAAGCGU